GGUUAAGCGACUAAGCGUACACGGUGGAUGCCCUGGCAGUCAGAGGCGAUGAAGGACGUGCUAAUCUGCGAAAAGCGUCGGUAAGGUGAUAUGAACCGUUACAGCCGGCGAUGUCCGAAUGGGGAAACCCAGUGCAAUUCGUUGCACUAUCGUUAACUGAAUACAUAGGUUAACGAGGCGAACCGGGGGAACUGAAACAUCUAAGUACCCCGAGGAAAAGAAAUCAACCGAGAUUCCCCCAGUAGCGGCGAGCGAACGGGGAGCAGCCCAGAGUCUGAAUCAGCUUGUGUGUUAGUGGAACGGUCUGGAAAGUCCGACGGUACAGGGUGAUAGUCCCGUACACCAAAAUGCACAGGCUGUGAACUCGAAGAGUAGGGCGGGACACGUGGUAUCCUGUCUGAAUAUGGGGGGACCAUCCUCCAAGGCUAAAUACUCCUGACUGACCGAUAGUGAACCAGUACCGUGAGGGAAAGGCGAAAAGAACCCCGGCGAGGGGAGUGAAAAAGAACCUGAAACCGUGUACGUACAAGCAGUGGGAGCACCUUCGGGUGUGACUGCGUACCUUUUGUAUAAUGGGUCAGCGACUUAUAUUCUGUAGCAAGGUUAACCGUAUAGGGGAGCCGCAGGGAAACCGAGUCUUAACUGGGCGUUAAGUUGCAGGGUAUAGACCCGAAACCCGGUGAUCUAGCCAUGGGCAGGUUGAAGGUUGGGUAACACUAACUGGAGGACCGAACCGACUAAUGUUGAAAAAUUAGCGGAUGACUUGUGGCUGGGGGUGAAAGGCCAAUCAAACCGGGAGAUAGCUGGUUCUCCCCGAAAGCUAUUUAGGUAGCGCCUCGUGAACUCAUCUUCGGGGGUAGAGCACUGUUUCGGCUAGGGGGUCAUCCCGACUUACCAACCCGAUGCAAACUACGAAUACCGAAGAAUGUUAUCACGGGAGACACACGGCGGGUGCUAACGUCCGUCGUGAAGAGGGAAACAACCCAGACCGCCAGCUAAGGUCCCAAAGUCACAGUUAAGUGGGAAACGAUGUGGGAAGGCACAGACAGCCAGGAUGUUGGCUUAGAAGCAGCCAUCAUUUAAAGAAAGCGUAAUAGCUCACUGGUCGAGUCGGCCUGCGCGGAAGAUGUAACGGGGCUAAACUGUGCACCGAAGCUGCGGCAGCGACACUUAGGUGUUGUUGGGUAGGGGAGCGUUCUGUAAGCCUGCGAAGGUGGCCUGUGAGGGUUGCUGGAGGUAUCAGAAGUGCGAAUGCUGACAUAAGUAACGAUAAUGCGGGUGAAAAGCCCGCACGCCGGAAGACCAAGGGUUCCUGUCCAACGUUAAUCGGGGCAGGGUGAGUCGACCCCUAAGGCGAGGCCGAAAGGCGUAGUCGAUGGGAAACAGGUUAAUAUUCCUGUACUUGGUGUUACUGCGAAGGGGGGACGGAGAAGGCUAUGUUAGCCGGGCGACGGUUGUCCCGGUUUAAGCAUGUAGGCGGAGGUUCCAGGUAAAUCCGGUACCUUAUUAACGCUGAGGUGUGAUGACGAGGCACUACGGUGCUGAAGUAACAAAUGCCCUGCUUCCAGGAAAAGCCUCUAAGCAUCAGGUAACAUUAAAUCGUACCCCAAACCGACACAGGUGGUCAGGUAGAGAAUACCAAGGCGCUUGAGAGAACUCGGGUGAAGGAACUAGGCAAAAUGGUGCCGUAACUUCGGGAGAAGGCACGCUGAUAUGUAGGUGAAGCCCCUGCGGGUGGAGCUGAAAUCAGUCGAAGAUACCAGCUGGCUGCAACUGUUUAUUAAAAACACAGCACUGUGCAAACACGAAAGUGGACGUAUACGGUGUGACGCCUGCCCGGUGCCGGAAGGUUAAUUGAUGGGGUUAUCCGUAAGGAGAAGCUCUUGAUCGAAGCCCCGGUAAACGGCGGCCGUAACUAUAACGGUCCUAAGGUAGCGAAAUUCCUUGUCGGGUAAGUUCCGACCUGCACGAAUGGCGUAAUGAUGGCCAGGCUGUCUCCACCCGAGACUCAGUGAAAUUGAACUCGCUGUGAAGAUGCAGUGUACCCGCGGCAAGACGGAAAGACCCCGUGAACCUUUACUAUAGCUUGACACUGAACAUUGAGCCUUGAUGUGUAGGAUAGGUGGGAGGCUUUGAAGCGUGGACGCCAGUCUGCGUGGAGCCAACCUUGAAAUACCACCCUUUAAUGUUUGAUGUUCUAACGUUGGCCCCUAAUCGGGGUUGCGGACAGUGUCUGGUGGGUAGUUUGACUGGGGCGGUCUCCUCCCAAAGAGUAACGGAGGAGCACGAAGGUUAGCUAAUCCUGGUCGGACAUCAGGAGGUUAGUGCAAUGGCAUAAGCUAGCUUGACUGCGAGCGUGACGGCGCGAGCAGGUGCGAAAGCAGGUCAUAGUGAUCCGGUGGUUCUGAAUGGAAGGGCCAUCGCUCAACGGAUAAAAGGUACUCCGGGGAUAACAGGCUGAUACCGCCCAAGAGUUCAUAUCGACGGCGGUGUUUGGCACCUCGAUGUCGGCUCAUCACAUCCUGGGGCUGAAGUAGGUCCCAAGGGUAUGGCUGUUCGCCAUUUAAAGUGGUACGCGAGCUGGGUUUAGAACGUCGUGAGACAGUUCGGUCCCUAUCUGCCGUGGGCGCUGGAGAAUUGAGGGGGGCUGCUCCUAGUACGAGAGGACCGGAGUGGACGCAUCACUGGUGUUCGGGUUGUCAUGCCAAUGGCAUUGCCCGGUAGCUAAAUGCGGAAGAGAUAAGUGCUGAAAGCAUCUAAGCACGAAACUUGCCCCGAGAUGAGUUCUCCCUGAGACUUUAAGUCUCCUGAAGGAACGUUAAAGACGAUGACGUUGAUAGGUCGGGUGUGUAAGCGUAGCGAUACGUUGAGCUAACCGAUACUAAUGAACCGUGAGGCUUAACCUU
This 2906-nucleotide ribosomal RNA is filed under the name Klebsiella aerogenes. RNAcentral describes it as "23S ribosomal RNA". It matches the Rfam family "Bacterial large subunit ribosomal RNA". The record is from RNAcentral. Lineage: Bacteria; Pseudomonadati; Pseudomonadota; Gammaproteobacteria; Enterobacterales; Enterobacteriaceae.